Molecule: long non-coding RNA, 586 nt
Filed under: Phasianus colchicus (ring-necked pheasant)
Lineage: Eukaryota; Metazoa; Chordata; Aves; Galliformes; Phasianidae
Description: lncRNA (ENSPCLG00000006110.1)
Source: RNAcentral
AUGUCCCCUCUGCCACACAGCCACCAGACGGGGUUGGUGUCAGCUCUGCUCUGCUCAGCUCAAAUGUGUGCAGACGUUUCCUCUCCUGCUUCAUUUUACAGUGCUCUUCAGGAUAAAUUUCCAUUAUGUGUUUGGGCAGAUGCUGAGCAUAGCCCCAGUUUAAUCAGGGAUGCAAGGAGACAGCAUCCUCACACCUUGCAGAAGCUGCGAUCUCCUGAUCUUCUCUGCCAGAAAUGCAGCAGGAAGAUAAAAACCGUAAUUCCUACAAACAACAUAACGAUGUUUUGUCAGUCGCAAAAAAAAAAAAAAAAAAGAAAGAAAAGAAAAGAAGAAAAAUCCAGCACCCAGUGGUUCAGUCUUUACAGAACUUCAUCAAAUCCAGUAAAAUUAAAAAAAGAGUAACCCUCCAGCUGCAAUCUCCAUGGAAAUAGAGAGAAGGCUCAAAUACAGUAGAGGAGGGAUGUAUUCUGUCUGAUUUCUGUGUUUCUUGGAACAGCUCAAUGCAUUGUUACAGCGAGCAUUGUGCCUUCUGAACGAGUUUUGCAAACAAAAUAAACUUUGUAUUUCUUUGACUGUGCUUUGUUAG